RNAcentral lists this ribosomal RNA (434 nucleotides) under uncultured Clostridium sp. RNAcentral's name for it is "partial 16S ribosomal RNA". It matches the Rfam family "Bacterial small subunit ribosomal RNA", at positions 341 to 792 of the family's 1533-position model. The record is from RNAcentral. Lineage: Bacteria; Bacillati; Bacillota; Clostridia; Eubacteriales; Clostridiaceae.
ACGGGAGGCAGCAGUGGGGAAUAUUGCACAAUGGGGGAAACCCUGAUGCAGCGACGCCGCGUGAGUGAAGAAGUAUUUCGGUAUGUAAAGCUCUAUCAGCAGGAAAGAAAAUGACGGUACCUGACUAAGAAGCCCCGGCUAACUACGUGCCAGCAGCCGCGGUAAUACGUAGGGGGCAAGCGUUAUCCGGAUUUACUGGGUGUAAAGGGAGCGUAGACGGCUUUGCAAGUCUGAAGUGAAAGCCCGGGGCUCAACCCCGGUACUGCAUUGGAAACUGUCGAACUAGAGUGUCGGAGGGGUAAGUGGAAUUCCUAGUGUAGCGGUGAAAUGCGUAGAUAUUAGGAGGAACACCAGUGGCGAAGGCGGAUUGCUGGACGACAACUGACGGUGAGGCGCGAAAGCGUGGGGAGCAAACAGGAUUAGAUACCCUGGUA